This 440-nucleotide ribosomal RNA is filed under the name uncultured bacterium. RNAcentral describes it as "partial 16S ribosomal RNA". It matches the Rfam family "Bacterial small subunit ribosomal RNA", at positions 338 to 795 of the family's 1533-position model. The record is from RNAcentral.
CCUACGUGUGGCAGCAGUGGGGAAUAUUGCACAAUGUGGGAAACCCUGAUGCAGCGACGCCGCGUGAGUGAAGAAGUAAUUCGUUACGUAAAGCUCUAUCAGAAGGGAAGAAAAUGAAGGUAACGGAGUAAGAAGCCCCGGCUAACUACGUGCCAGCAGCCGCGGUAAUACGUAGGGGGACAGCGUUGUCCGGAUAUACUGGGUGUAAAGGGAGCGUAGACGGUGCGCCAAGUCUGGAGUGAAAUGCCGCAGCUUAACUGCGGAACUGCUUUGGAAACGGGCGAACUAGAGUGCGGGAGGGGUAAGCGGAAUUGCUAGUGUAGCGGUGAAACGCGUAGAUAUUAGGAGGAACACCGGUGGCGAAGGCGGCUUACUGGACCGUAACUGACGUUGAGGCUCGAAAGCGUGGGGAGCAAACAGGAUUAGAUACCCCGGUAGUC